GUUAUUCGUGAAACAUUCCGUAUAUUUGAAGCAGAGAAGAUUAGCAUGGUCCUUGUGCAAAGAUGACACACAAGUCCAGCUAACCUAAUUUGU
Molecule: small nuclear RNA, 93 nt
Organism: Dipodomys ordii (Ord's kangaroo rat)
Lineage: Eukaryota; Metazoa; Chordata; Mammalia; Rodentia; Heteromyidae
Source: Ensembl